GCGCAGCAGGCGCGAACCUCCGCAAUGCGCGCAAGCGCGACGGGUCAGCCCGAGUGCCACCCGAGAGGGUGGCUGUGGCCCGCCGUAAAAGCGGGCUUAGAAAGCGGAGGGCAAGGCUGGUGCCAGCCGCCGCGGUAAACCAGCUCCGCGAGUGGUCGGGGCGAUUGCUGGGCCUAAAGGGUCCGUAGGCGGCCCCGCAAGUCCGCGGCUAAAUCCCCAGGUCUCAAGCCUGGGACUGCUGCGGAUACUGCGGGGCUAGGGACCGGGAGAGGCCCGGGGGUACCUCCGGGGUAGGGGCGAAAUCCAGAGAUCCCGGAGGGACCAACGGUGGCGAAGGCGCCCGGCUGGAACGGCUCCGACGCUGAGGGACGAAAGCCAGGGGAGCGAAGGGGAUUAGAUGCCCCUGU
RNAcentral lists this ribosomal RNA (407 nucleotides) under uncultured microorganism. Its description in RNAcentral is "bacterial SSU rRNA". It matches the Rfam family "Archaeal small subunit ribosomal RNA", at positions 330 to 742 of the family's 1478-position model. The record is from RNAcentral.